GACGAACGUUGGCGGCGUGCCUAAUACAUGCAAGUCAACUGAAGCAAGGUAGCAAUAUCUUGUGGAGGUGGCGCACGGGUGAGUAACACGUAGGUAAUCUGCCUUCAGGUCUGACAUAACUCCGGGAAACCGGAGCUAAUAGCAGAUGAUGCAGCGGCUUGACAUCAAGACAGUUGUUAAAGCUUCGGCGCCUGAAGAUGAGCCUGCGUCUGAUUAGCUAGUUGGCGGAGUAAUAGCCCACCAAGGCGACGAUCAGUAACUGGUCUGAGAGGAUGAUCAGUCACACUGGAACUGAGACACGGUCCAGACUCCUACGGGAGGCAGCAGUAAGGAAUAUUGCUCAAUGGGGGAAACCCUGAAGCAGCAACGCCGCGUGAGGGAU
This 382-nucleotide ribosomal RNA is filed under the name uncultured bacterium. Its description in RNAcentral is "bacterial SSU rRNA". It matches the Rfam family "Bacterial small subunit ribosomal RNA", at positions 28 to 409 of the family's 1533-position model. The record is from RNAcentral.